GGCGGGGUGGCCAAGUGGUAAGGCGAGGGUCUGCAAAACCCUUCAUCGGCGGUUCGAUUCCUCCAGUGCUU
RNAcentral lists this transfer RNA (71 nucleotides) under Candidatus Sulfotelmatobacter kueseliae. RNAcentral's name for it is "Pseudo tRNA". The stretch from base 8 to 64 matches the Rfam family "tRNA", at positions 8 to 63 of the family's 71-position model. From Rfam's summary of the family: Transfer RNA (tRNA) molecules are approximately 80 nucleotides in length. Their secondary structure includes four short double-helical elements and three loops (D, anti-codon, and T loops). The record is from RNAcentral. Lineage: Bacteria; Pseudomonadati; Acidobacteriota; Terriglobia; Terriglobales; Candidatus Korobacteraceae.